GGUGCUUGCAUCAUGAUUUACAUUUGAGUGAGUGGCGAACUGGUGAGUAACACGUGGGAAACCUGCCCAGAAGCGGGGGAUAACACCUGGAAACAGAUGCUAAUACCGCAUAACAACUUGGACCGCAUGGUCCGAGAAAGAAAGAUGGCUUCGGCUAUCACUUUUGGAUGGUCCCGCGGCGUAUUAGCUAGAUGGUGGGGUAACGGCUCACCAUGGCAAUGAUACGUAGCCGACCUGAGAGGGUAAUCGGCCACAUUGGGACUGAGACACGGCCCAAACUCCUACGGGAGGCAGCAGUAGGGAAUCUUCCACAAUGGACGAAAGUCUGAUGGAGCAACGCCGCGUGAGUGAAGAAGGGUUUCCCCUCGUAAAACUCUGUUGUUAAAGAAGAACAUAUCUGAGAGUAACUGUUCAGGUAUUGACGGUAUUUAACCAGAAAGCCACGGCUAACUACGUGCCAGCAGCCGCGGUAAUACGUAGGUGGCAAGCGUUGUCCGGAUUUAUUGGGCGUAAAGCGAGCGCAGGCGGUUUUUUAAGUCUGAUGUGAAAGCCUUCGGCUCAACCGAAGAAGUGCAUCGGAAACUGGGAAACUUGAGUGCAGAAGAGGACAGUGGAACUCCAUGUGUAGCGGUGAAAUGCGUAGAUAUAUGGAAGAACACCAGUGGCGAAGGCGGCUGUCUGGUCUGUAACUGACGCUGAGGCUCGAAAGUAUGGGUAGCAAACAGGAUUAGAUACCCUGGUAGUCCAUACCGUAAACGAUGAAUGCUAAGUGUUGGAGGGUUUCCGCCCUUCAGUGCUGCAGCUAACGCAUUAAGCAUUCCGCCUGGGGGGUACGGCCGCAAGGCUGAAACUCAAAGGAAUUGACGGGGGCCCGCACAAGCGGUGGAGCAUGUGGUUUAAUUCGAAGCUACGCGAAGAACCUUACCAGGUCUUGACAUACUAUGCAAAUCUAAGAGAUUAGACGUUCCCUUCGGGGACAUGGAUACAGGUGGUGCAUGGUUGUCGUCAGCUCGUGUCGUGAGAUGUUGGGUUAAGUCCCGCAACGAGCGCAACCCUUAUUAUCAGUUGCCAGCAUUAAGUUGGGCACUCUGGUGAGACUGCCGGUGACAAACCGAGGAAGGUGGGGAUGACGUCAAAUCAUCAUGCCCCUUAUGACCUGGGCUACACACGUGCUACAAUGGAUGGUACAACGAGUUGCGAACUCGCGAGAGUAAGCUAAUCUCUUAAAGCCAUUCUCAGUUCGGAUUGUAGGCUGCAACUCGCCUACAUGAAGUCGGAAUCGCUAGUA
This 1288-nucleotide ribosomal RNA is filed under the name Lactiplantibacillus plantarum. Its description in RNAcentral is "bacterial SSU rRNA". It matches the Rfam family "Bacterial small subunit ribosomal RNA", at positions 64 to 1340 of the family's 1533-position model. Lineage: Bacteria; Bacillati; Bacillota; Bacilli; Lactobacillales; Lactobacillaceae. The record is from RNAcentral.